Molecule: ribosomal RNA, 1151 nt
Filed under: Bacillus licheniformis
Lineage: Bacteria; Bacillati; Bacillota; Bacilli; Caryophanales; Bacillaceae
Description: bacterial SSU rRNA
Rfam family: Bacterial small subunit ribosomal RNA
Source: RNAcentral
CUGGCUCAGGACGAACGCUGGCGGCGUGCCUAAUACAUGCAAGUCGAGCGGACCGACGGGAGCUUGCUCCCUUAGGUCAGCGGCGGACGGGUGAGUAACACGUGGGUAACCUGCCUGUAAGACUGGGAUAACUCCGGGAAACCGGGGCUAAUACCGGAUGCUUGAUUGAACCGCAUGGUUCAAUCAUAAAAGGUGGCUUUUAGCUACCACUUACAGAUGGACCCGCGGCGCAUUAGCUAGUUGGUGAGGUAACGGCUCACCAAGGCGACGAUGCGUAGCCGACCUGAGAGGGUGAUCGGCCACACUGGGACUGAGACACGGCCCAGACUCCUACGGGAGGCAGCAGUAGGGAAUCUUCCGCAAUGGACGAAAGUCUGACGGAGCAACGCCGCGUGAGUGAUGAAGGUUUUCGGAUCGUAAAACUCUGUUGUUAGGGAAGAACAAGUACCGUUCGAAUAGGGCGGUACCUUGACGGUACCUAACCAGAAAGCCACGGCUAACUACGUGCCAGCAGCCGCGGUAAUACGUAGGUGGCAAGCGUUGUCCGGAAUUAUUGGGCGUAAAGCGCGCGCAGGCGGUUUCUUAAGUCUGAUGUGAAAGCCCCCGGCUCAACCGGGGAGGGUCAUUGGAAACUGGGGAACUUGAGUGCAGAAGAGGAGAGUGGAAUUCCACGUGUAGCGGUGAAAUGCGUAGAGAUGUGGAGGAACACCAGUGGCGAAGGCGACUCUCUGGUCUGUAACUGACGCUGAGGCGCGAAAGCGUGGGGAGCGAACAGGAUUAGAUACCCUGGUAGUCCACGCCGUAAACGAUGAGUGCUAAGUGUUAGAGGGUUUCCGCCCUUUAGUGCUGCAGCAAACGCAUUAAGCACUCCGCCUGGGGAGUACGGUCGCAAGACUGAAACUCAAAGGAAUUGACGGGGGCCCGCACAAGCGGUGGAGCAUGUGGUUUAAUUCGAAGCAACGCGAAGAACCUUACCAGGUCUUGACAUCCUCUGACAACCCUAGAGAUAGGGCUUCCCCUUCGGGGGCAGAGUGACAGGUGGUGCAUGGUUGUCGUCAGCUCGUGUCGUGAGAUGUUGGGUUAAGUCCCGCAACGAGCGCAACCCUUUGAUCUUAGUUGCCAGCAUUCAGUUGGGCACUCUAAGGUGACUG